This 488-nucleotide ribosomal RNA is filed under the name uncultured bacterium. Its description in RNAcentral is "bacterial SSU rRNA". It matches the Rfam family "Bacterial small subunit ribosomal RNA", at positions 28 to 525 of the family's 1533-position model. The record is from RNAcentral.
GAUGAACGCUGGCGGCGUGCUUAACACAUGCAAGUCGAACGGAGUUUAAGAAGGAAGCUUGCUUUCAUUUUAAACUUAGUGGCGGACGGGUGAGUAACGCGUGGGCAACCUGCCUCAUACUGGGGGAUAGCAGUUGGAAACGACUGAUAAUACCGCAUAAGCGCACGGUAUCGCAUGAUACAGUGUGAAAAACUCCGGUGGUAUGAGAUGGGCCCGCGUCAGAUUAGCUAGUUGGUAAGGUAACGGCUUACCAAGGCGACGAUCUGUAGCCGGACUGAGAGGUCGGACGGCCACAUUGGGACUGAGACACGGCCCAAACUCCUACGGGAGGCAGCAGUGGGGGAUAUUGCACAAUGGAGGAAACUCUGAUGCAGCGACGCCGCGUGAGUGAAGAGUAUUUCGGUAUGUAAGCUCUAUCAGCAGGAGAAGCUCGUAGAGAGUGACGUACUGACUAAGAACCCGGCUACUACGUGCCGCACCGCGGUAUC